GGAAGAAGGAAAAAGAGGUUAUUCAGAAGCAACUGAAGAAAAGCCAAAAUGUGGAAGAGCAGGACAAAUUGCAGCAGCUCCUUAAGCGAAUGACACAACAGGAAGAAGCACAGAGAAAAUACCAGAAGAAGAGAGAACAUUCCCUGGCAUUCAAGAGGCAACAAAGAGAGUUGGCCAAGCAAGGAAAGAAGCCCUUCUUCCUAA
Molecule: long non-coding RNA, 204 nt
Organism: Protobothrops mucrosquamatus (brown spotted pit viper)
Lineage: Eukaryota; Metazoa; Chordata; Lepidosauria; Squamata; Viperidae
Exons: 3
Source: RefSeq, a predicted model, not a curated record